UCAGCACAAUGUCCAAGUUUUUCAGUACUUCAGAAUUCUUAAGUCGACCAGUUAGAAUGGCUGAAUCUGGAGCAGGCAACCCAUCGCCAUUCCAUUCACCUCCAGCAGAUGUCACUGUUUCACCAAUGCAUACAGGGUGAAUUUCAUCCACCAAUACAGUCUCAGCACGAGCAUGGUAAGGUUUUAAGAAGUUGACAUGAAAUGUUUGCCGUUUCUUCCACCUUUCUGGAGUCGCAAUGAGGCAAUCUUGGUCAGGCAGCUGUUUCAAAACUCUGUGUGGGCCAGAAACAGUUUUGCGAGAUGAGUGGAAAGAUGCUGAACCACCACAAAACUUGUUGCAUUAGGUUAAUGGGUUUAAGCAGACUCUUUACUGCUACACAGUUAGCAAAAGAGAAACUAUCAUCUGCACAGAAAAAAAAUGAAGCGUUUGUAUGAUAAGAAAGCCGAACAUUGUGUUUUUCUUUCAGGUGACCAAGUUCUGGCCAGCUGCCCCAUUCCUUUCUGUCUGCCUGCCACCCUCUCCCCUUUCUCCCUCUUCUCUGGGCCGUAACACAGGACUUGCCACCAGUGUCAACACUGAGAGCUGUGAAGCCUCUGACACCACUCCCAGUCUUUGCAGUUCCACCGGCCCCCACAGAAUCAGCAAGGUCUCCAACAUCCUCAGAAGAAACAGUUUUGCUCUCACCUGGAAUGCUGACUGAAACCAUCGGCUCCACUGGUGCAGGGGCAGUGGCUGCUUCUGCCUACAGUGGCUGCUGCAGUGACCUCAGCCUCCUGUCCAAUCUGCUUGUGCCCCACAUCUCCACACUCAAAACACUUCAUCACACUUAAGCUUGCAUAUACCAUAUAUCCCUCCUCAUGUUUAACAUGGAAAGAGACAUCUAACAACCAGGUUGGUGAAUCCAGAUACAUAAACACUUGUCUAUGCAAAGACAGAACAUGAUUAAGUUUGGAAUCUGUACGUCCCAAACUGACAGUCUUGAACCCACCAAGCCAGUCUUCUGAAGCGUUUCAGCACCUGCACUAGCACCUUGUUAGAUACAAAUAAAUGAUUCUGUCUUUUUCUUCUAUCUCUUUUAGCUGCUUCAUGGACACACACGUGUACAUACAUAUAAGGGUAACGAAAUGACAUCACAUGGGAAUGCCCUCUUUACGGGGUAGCUUCUGUAUGAGCCAAAAGGAGUGGAAAUCUACUGUCUGGGGCCACUUUGUGUUGUCCCUUAAAGGAAUCCAUGAUUAGUUGUAACAUUAGACUUUAUUUGAGAAAUAUUUAUUUUAGACAUAAAAACAACACAGUAAUAAUAGUGUAGGCAAUUUAGUUUUUAUAAAUUUUAAUAAAAUAUUGUCACAUGAACAUCGCCAUGUUGUUCACACUGCAAUGCAUUCUGGGUAAAUGACGUCUAAAGGCUGACUUCGUUAGCUCCAUCCAGACAAAACAGCAAUGAGUAACAUCUUUAAGCCUUUACUCAUUAAGCACGUUGAAAUCAAUGGGAAUGUAGAAAUCACAAAGAGCAAUAUUGAAGAUGAGAAGAACCAAAUGGAGAAAGAGGACAGAGUUGGAGUUGGUAUUUUGCUGCUGCUACCUUCAGCUUCAUAAAUGAAAAAGAAUGACACAUACCUCUGGUCAGAGUGUAUGAUCUGGUAAGUAGUUCUGUAACUUUGUGUCUGGUCUGGUAACAGCAGUUUAUGGUCAGGGUCAGGUCUUCGGUUCGGAAGUAAAUAGGGCAGCAGUACUGCUGCAGAGCUCUGUUAGCAUUUAAAAGAGCUUCCGGUGCCGUCUGUCUGAUGUUUCUCCUGGCAUUUUUUGCUCUCUAGCCAGCAGCAGCAGGGUUUAGGCGCUUUGUGCAAAAAAACUGUCAGCAUGGUAUUUGUUUUUAGCUUGUAAAGGUAAUAAUCAGCUGUUAGAGCCUUUGUCAGUUUUCCUUGUACAAAUGAAUCAAAGUCUUCUGGAGAGAAAUGUUAAGAGCACAAAUGUAGGUCCCUCGGACAUUGUGUUCAACUCUCUCUCACUGUGCUCUUCGUUCUUUCAUGUGGGAAGUGAUCCAGAGUCACCUCACUGUUUUCUUUUUAAGUUACAGCCAACAGUGACGUAUGGCAUUGUCUAAAAUUACACCAGUCAAACGCAAUAUGAUAACUCGGGUUCUCAUAUUACAGCCUUCCUGUGUUUGCUCUGUAAAAUAAACAGUAAACACACCUGCAUCAUCAGCCCAGCAGCUGAAAAAAUGGCGACCUCCAUGGAUAAAAAUAUAACAAGAAAUAAAAUUCUUGAAGAAAUUAUAAGCUGUGGCAUAUCACAAACAGCAUUUUUUUUUAGUUAGGAAAAUUACAACAUUUUUAGGCCAACAUGUUCAACUAAUCUUGGAUCCUUUUAAGGGUGAAUGGCAGUGGAUCAGUGCUGUAACAGUAAACUAUUUCUCUGUUGUUCUUAAACAGUGUUAUAAUUUAUUUGGCUUUAAUAAGCCAUCAUCACUAGUCAUCAACAGGGCGGAAAUCCAGACAAUGUAAUCCAGGUGGACGGAACAACUAAAGGAGAAAUUUGAAACUCAUUUAUUCCAUUCCCACUUUCAACAAGUUGAGUAACAAACUCUGGCUGCUUGACAGAAACAACCCAUGCAUGAGACAUAGGAAAUGUUUCAGUGUCCCACUUUAUCUCCAACUGCUAACAGCACCUGCUCCACAGAGGCUGUGGAGCCACUCUCAUUAUGUUUCUCAAUGAGAGGGACGGUGUCCUGCCAUAACUGUGCAAACCACAAAAAUAACAAUCUCUUAUAACAAUCUACAAAGAACAGAAAUAAGUGAAAAAAAUGUUAGAAAAAAAGUUUUACAUCAGUCCAUUCACCACACAGCAUGCAGUACAACAUUCAGCAUACAGUACGAAAAAAA
Molecule: long non-coding RNA, 2883 nt
Organism: Xiphophorus hellerii (green swordtail)
Lineage: Eukaryota; Metazoa; Chordata; Actinopteri; Cyprinodontiformes; Poeciliidae
Exons: 2
Source: RefSeq, a predicted model, not a curated record